GCACAGCUGAGGAGUCCCAAAAUAAGACGAAACGGCCGUCCAGUGC
Molecule: non-coding RNA, 46 nt
Organism: Schistosoma mansoni
Lineage: Eukaryota; Metazoa; Platyhelminthes; Trematoda; Strigeidida; Schistosomatidae
Source: Rfam